Molecule: ribosomal RNA, 728 nt
Filed under: uncultured fungus
Lineage: Eukaryota; Fungi
Description: SSU rRNA
Rfam family: Eukaryotic small subunit ribosomal RNA
Source: RNAcentral
UGGUAGGAUAGAGGCCUACCAUGGUGGUAACGGGUAACGGGGUGUUAGGGCACGACACCGGAGAGGGAGCCUGAGAAACGGCUACCACAUCCAAGGAUGGCAGCAGGCGCGCAAAUUACCCAAUCCCGACACGGGGAGGUAGUGACAAUAAAUAACAGUACGGGGUUCUUUCGGAUCUCGUAAUUGGAAUGAGUACAAUUUAAAUCUCUUAACGAGGAACAAUUGGAGGGCAAGUCUGGUGCCAGCAGCCGCGGUAAUUCCAGCUCCAAUAGCGUAUAUUAAAGUUGUUGCAGUUAAAAAGCUCGUAGUUGAAUUUCGGGGUUAGUAGGUUGGUCAUGCCUCUGGUAUGUACUGGUCUCACUGAUUCCUCCUUCCUGAUGAACCGUAAUGCCAUUAAUUUGGUGUUGCGGGGAAUUUGGACUGUUACUUUGAAAAAACUAGAGUGUUUAAAGCAAGCUAACGCUUGAAUACAUUAGCAUGGAAUAAUGAAAUAGGACGUUCGAUCCUAUUUUGUUGGUUUCUAGGAUUGACGUAAUGAUUAAUAGGGAUAGUUGGGGGCAUUAGUAUUCAAUUGUCAGAGGUGAAAUUCUUGGAUUUAUUGAAGACUAGCUACUGCGAAAGCAUUUGCCAAGGAUGUUUUCAUUAAUCAAGAACGAAAGUUAGGGGAUCGAAGACGAUCAGAUACCGUCGUAGUCUUAACCAUAAACUAUGCCGACUAGGGAUCGGAU